CAGGUUAACCUCACUUGAGUUUCAUAAAAGCCUGGCAAAGGAGCUGCCUACUGAAACUGCCUAAGGUAUUUCAGUGCCUACUUCAGGAAUACUAAUACCCAAGCAACUAUUAACUGCAGAUAUUCAUAAUGGAGGAAAUAUCCAAGUUUUCUAUUCUCCAUUUCAGUUCAGAAGCUAUUGCAAAAAGCAUUAUUCACAGUGGCCAAGAUAUGGAAAAACCAGUGUCCUUUGACAGAGGAUUGGAUAAGGAAGAUGUGGUACAUGGCUACACUCGAAUAUUAGUCAGCCAUAAGAAAACACGAAAUAUUGCCAUUUGAGACAAUAAGAAUGGAUCUUGAGAAUGUCAAGAAUGCUAAGCGAGAUAAGUCAAAGAGAAAAAGUUAAGAAUCAUGUGAUUUCAUUCAUUUGUAAGAUUUAAAACUGAAAGCAACAAGUGAACAAACAGGAAACAAAAACCCACAGACACAGUAUUGUGGUUACCAGAGGUAAAGGGCAUCAAAUACAUGGUGACAGAAGAAGCUUUGACUGUGGGUGGUGAGCACACCCAAAAUAUAAUACAGAUGUAUUGUAGAAUUGUACACUUGAAACUCAUAUAAUCCUAUUAACCAAUGUCAUCCCAAUAAAUUUAAUUAAAAAAUAAAAUGGAGAGAAUAACUUUGCUUAUAUUAUGUCACUGUUUUGAAGAUUAUAUGUAAUAAAGCUUAGAAGAAUGUUCAGAGGAUAGUAAGAGCUUGACAGAAGCUAACUAAUUUACUCCUAUUAUUUUUUUUGGCCUCCUUAUUGUCCCUUGCCCAAGCCAGACACACUUCUGUAUGUUCCCUCUGCUUGUAAUUUUUUCCCUCCAGAUGUUCCUGCAGUUUACUCUUUGAGAUCUCUCACAGUUUUAUUCAAAGGUCAUCUGACCAACCUAUUUAAAAUGCAAACCACAUCUCUUUUUUUUCUCAUUCCAAUCCUUCUUCUACUAUUCUACUUUUUUUCCUCCAUAGCAGCAGCUAUCACCUUCAAAUAUAAAGUCUAUCUAUCUAUCUAUCUAUCUAUCUAUCUAUCUAUCUAUCUAUCUAUCUAUCAAUCCUCCAUCCAUAUGUGUAUUUUCUCUUCACUAGAAUGCAGUCCACAAAGGCAGGGAUUUUAAUCUGAUUAUUUUUAUUGACCAGCAUCCAAAAAAGGCCUGGCACAAUAGAAGGUGCUUGGUAGAUUACUAUUAAGUGUGGGAGUGACUGACUUGUUAUAUAAUGCUAUCACUGAAUUAAAAUACCACACCAUUCUCUUUUUCCAUUUCCUUGGCUUUUGGGGCCUUCAUUUCCCUUCAGCUUUGCCCUUGAUGUUUAUUUUAACUUUGUUGCACCUUUACUUUUCAUAGGGAAUUGAACACAUAAUAUGCUAUUCAUCCUCUAAGCGACCAUGCCUCAUUCACCCCUCUAGUAGGCUACCAAUUUUCAAAGCCACUCAUUGAAUUUGUGGAGUGUUUGAACUGAUUAAGUAAAAAUGGUUAUUGGUUUUCUGUGAGAGCUAAGACAAGGCAAGUCAAUAGGAACCCAUCUAUCCAUGGCCACCCUCCCUGCACUGUCAGAGAAUCCCAACUUUAUAACCUUAGAAUUCAAAACACAAAAAAAUAUAGAGAAAACACAUUCACUUGAAUAGAAUGUUGAUUAGGCAGAGAAAGGGGGCUAAAAGGGAAUGAGAUACCAUCACCAUAGGACAAUAACAAUCACCAACCAUUUUUAGAUUCUUUAGUAUGUUCUAGAAACUAUACCUAGUACUUUAAAUGCAUUAUUUAAUUU
Long non-coding RNA from Artibeus jamaicensis (Jamaican fruit-eating bat), 1781 nucleotides. RefSeq lists it as uncharacterized. The transcript is spliced from 3 exons. The record is from RefSeq and is a predicted model, not a curated record. NCBI's taxonomy places the organism in Eukaryota, Metazoa, Chordata, Mammalia, Chiroptera, Phyllostomidae.